AUACGGAAGGUCCGGGCGUUAUCCGGAUUUAUUGGGUUUAAAGGGAGCGCAGGCGGAGAUGCAAGCGUGACGUCAAAUUUCGGGGCUCAACCCCGUCUCGCGUCGCGAACUGCGUCCCUUGGUUGCGGGAAGGGGAGGCGGAACUCGUGGUGUAGCGGUGAAAUGCAUAGAUAUCACGAAGAACUCCGAUCGCGAAGGCAGCCUUCCGGCCCGUCAACGACGCUCAUGCUCGAAGGUGCGGGUAUCAAACAGGAUUAGAUACCCUGGUAGUCCGCACAGUAACCGAUGGACACCCGCGGUUUGGCCUGUAUGGCUGAGCCGCCAAGCGAAAGCGUUAAGUGUCCCACCUGGGGAGUACGCCGGCAACGGUGAAACUCAAAUGAAUUGACGGGG
This 393-nucleotide ribosomal RNA is filed under the name uncultured bacterium. Its description in RNAcentral is "partial 16S ribosomal RNA". It matches the Rfam family "Bacterial small subunit ribosomal RNA", at positions 523 to 918 of the family's 1533-position model. The record is from RNAcentral.